AAGAAAAUUGACAUAGAAUGUGUUAUAGACUUAAUAGGGAAUAAAGUGAAAAUCUUUAACUACCCCAGUAACCGUGAAACUGACGAAAUCUUUAUUAUAGCCACUGCGAAAGCGGGAAGGUAAGAGAGAGUAGGAUGAAGUAAAGUCGGGAGACCUGCAUUUUAUGAUGAAUUAUU
Molecule: non-coding RNA, 176 nt
Filed under: Clostridium bornimense
Lineage: Bacteria; Bacillati; Bacillota; Clostridia; Eubacteriales; Clostridiaceae
Source: RNAcentral